GAUGAACGCUGGCGGUGUGCCUAAUACAUGCAAGUCGAGCGGAAACACUUCGGGUGUCGAGCGGCGGACGGCUGAGUAACGCGUAGGAACGUACCCCAAACUGAGGGAUAACUGCCCGAAAGGGUAGCUAAUACCGCAUGUGAUCUUCGGAUUAAAGCUUCGGCGGUUUGGGAACGGCCUGCGUAUGAUUAGCUUGUUGGUGAGGUAAAGCUCACCAAGGCGACGAUCAUAGCUGGUCUGAGAGGAUGAUCAGCCAGACUGGGACUGAGAACGGCCCAGACUCCUACGGGAGGCAGCAGUAAGGAAUCUUCCACAAUGGACGAAAGUCUGAUGGAGCAACACCGCGUGCAGGAUGACGGCUUUC
RNAcentral lists this ribosomal RNA (364 nucleotides) under uncultured bacterium. Its description in RNAcentral is "bacterial SSU rRNA". It matches the Rfam family "Bacterial small subunit ribosomal RNA", at positions 28 to 419 of the family's 1533-position model. The record is from RNAcentral.